AGACCAUACACCAGACGGGCAAAGAAAUUUUGCUGGGAAAGCAAAAGAAAAAAAAAAGCAGGUUUAGUUCCCAAAGCUAGAAAUUGUGGUUCUCCUGCCUCGUUGUCUUGGUGUUCCCAGGAUGGAAGGACAGCGCUGCCUCUUUGCUUUUCACCCCAGGACAGAUUAAACCAGAAGCUGGCCAUGUUUGUUUAACCUCAAGCUUUGCUGAACUGGCAUGCCUGAACAGCCCUCAGCACUGCCAGAGCCGCAGAUGCUAAGGUAACAGGAGAAGAGCAGAAAGCUGCAGCCUGUUGCUAAGACAAGGCAGCUUCCAAGUCCUGACCAUGACCACAACAGGCACCCCACGUGGAAGAGAAACUCCAAUGAAAGAGAACAUGGCUUUAUGUCUCUUAGUGGAAAUAUUUGCAAAAGCCAAGCACAGCACCAGUACUAAACAUGGACCCAUGAAAGAAGAACAUGGGCUUGGGAUGGAGCUACAGGUCCUGCUGCAUUGGCCCCCGUCUGAUCUUCAGAAUUUCUGCUUUGUGCCCAGCCAACAAGGUACAGAAGCAGUCAAGCAGGAGGACAAGUUCUCAGGAUCUGCCUAUCAUCUUUCCCUGCCUGGAAGGAAGCACAUCUCCCGGAUGAUCAGAAGUGUCCAGAAAUCACAAUGGGAGGUUAAAAUGUAUAGAUUUUGUGCAUCAAAGCCUAAAUGAGGUCCUCUAAGGGAACUUUGGAGGCAGAUUGAGAGACAGCAGAGGGAGCAUCACAAUAGCUCCCAUGUGGGAUCACUUCUUGCAGAAGAAUCCAGAGACUUCAGUUACUCUCAGGACCCUAUUGUGUUAAGCAACACACAUGCCUACAGUAAGCACGCUUACAUUGUUUCAGUACAUUUUCCACACUAGCAACAGAUUUUUGUAAAGGUCAUCGGAAGCAAGCUAG
This 924-nucleotide long non-coding RNA is filed under the name Gallus gallus (chicken). RNAcentral's name for it is "lncRNA (ENSGALG00010021312.1)". Lineage: Eukaryota; Metazoa; Chordata; Aves; Galliformes; Phasianidae. The record is from RNAcentral.